Molecule: non-coding RNA, 436 nt
Organism: Pelobates cultripes (western spadefoot toad)
Lineage: Eukaryota; Metazoa; Chordata; Amphibia; Anura; Pelobatidae
Source: the annotation of a GenBank genome assembly
AACAAAUUCAGGAGGAGUAAAAUGCCCUAUUCAUAUGGGAGCUUACAGUCUAAAUAAUUGUGGUGCUGUGGACAGAGAUCAAAGUAGUGGGCACAAUUACUAUAGCUAACUGCGCUGUUUAUAUGGUAACAUUUAUGCAGGUAAUGGGCUGUUGUGUCAUGCUGUCUAAUGUGAGGCUGCAUGUUGAGGGACCAGGAGCGAAGGCUGUGUGUGUCUAUGAAUGUGUGCUAGUGGUUUCAUGUAUGUGUAUUAACUUGUGUCUCUUGUUGUUUGUUAGCAGGUGUCUAUGUAUAUAUGCUUGUGUUGGGUUAUAUGUUAGUGUGAUACAAAUUAUGUCGGGAUAUCUGGAAAGUAAUAUCGAUGUGUCUACUCCUGUGUGUCAAUGUAUGGGACACAAAAUUGCAUUGCCCAGAAACCUGCAAAUGGCAUUGAUGGC